GACGAACGCUGGCGGCGUGCUUAACGCAUGCAAGUCGAACGGAAAGGCCCUGCUUUUGUGGGGUGCUCGAGUGGCGAACGGGUGAGUAACACGUGAGUAACCUGCCCUUGACUUUGGGAUAACUUCAGGAAACUGGGGCUAAUACCGGAUAGGAGCUCCUGCUGCAUGGUGGGGGUUGGAAAGUUUCGGCGGUUGGGGAUGGACUCGCGGCUUAUCAGCUUGUUGGUUGGGUAGUGGCUUACCAAGGCUUUGACGGGUAGCCGGCCUGAGCGGGUGACCGGCCACAUUGGGACUGGACUGCGGCCCAGACUCCUACGGGAGGCAGCAGUGGGGAGUAUUGCACAAUGGGCGGAAGCAUGAUGCAGCAACGCCGCGUGCGGGAUGACGGCCUUCGGGUUGUAAACCGCUUUCGCCUGUGACGAAGCGUGAGUGACGGUAAUGGGUAAAGAAGCACCGGCUAACUACGUG
RNAcentral lists this ribosomal RNA (468 nucleotides) under uncultured bacterium. Its description in RNAcentral is "partial 16S ribosomal RNA". It matches the Rfam family "Bacterial small subunit ribosomal RNA", at positions 28 to 507 of the family's 1533-position model. The record is from RNAcentral.